Molecule: ribosomal RNA, 465 nt
Filed under: uncultured bacterium
Lineage: Bacteria
Description: partial 16S ribosomal RNA
Rfam family: Bacterial small subunit ribosomal RNA
Source: RNAcentral
GACGAACGCUGGCGGCGUGCUUAACACAUGCAAGUCGAACGGAAAGGCCCCUUUGGGGGUACUCGAGUGGCGCACGGGUGAGUAACACGUGAGUAACCUGCCCUUGACUUCGGGAUAACUUCAGGAAACUGGGGCUAAUACCGGAUAGGAAUCCUUGCUGCAUGGUGGGGGUUGGAAAGCUUCGGCGGUUUUGGAUGGACUCGCGGCUUAUCAGCUUGUUGGUGGGGUAGUGGCUUACCAAGGCUUUGACGGGUAGCCGGCCUGAGAGGGCGACCGGCCACAUUGGGACUGAGAUACGGCCCAGACUCCUACGGGAGGCAGCAGUGGGGAAUAUUGCACAAUGGGCGGAAGUCUGAUGCAGCAACGCCGCGUGCGGGAUGACGGCCUUCGGGUUGUAAACCGCUUUCAGCAGGGGCGAAGCUUGUGGUGACGGUACCUGCAGAAGAAGCACCGGCUAACUACGUG